UAAUGAGUAGUUUAAAAAAAACAAUAGGUUGUGGUUCUAUCAAUAGUGUUAGUCUCUCAUUAG
This 63-nucleotide transfer RNA is filed under the name Alasmidonta varicosa. Its description in RNAcentral is "tRNA-His". Lineage: Eukaryota; Metazoa; Mollusca; Bivalvia; Unionida; Unionidae. The record is from RNAcentral.